Molecule: long non-coding RNA, 3554 nt
Organism: Spinacia oleracea (spinach)
Lineage: Eukaryota; Viridiplantae; Streptophyta; Magnoliopsida; Caryophyllales; Amaranthaceae
Exons: 4
Source: RefSeq, a predicted model, not a curated record
CUCGCCAUUCCCGUAGAGAUGGUUUUCAACCGCACCCUCGCUCUUUCUCUCUCUACUCCAUCUCCAUCUCCAUCUCCAUCUCCCUAUCUCUUUCUUCCGAUUUCUUCUACUUUUAAAAACCUUCUCCCCUCUUCGUUCUCUCCUCCGUCUCUCGCCGUCGCCUCCAUCGAAAACCGCGACGGAGGAGAUCGUAGUCGCCACCAUUGUUCAAGUUCGUUGAAAAGACGACCUCCACAUCGGAGCCACCGACGCAACGGAGUAUCCUGCAGUUCCAAUUCACCCUCCUCGAAAUGCAAAGACUUGAGAAUGCGUAAUUCAAUAAGGGCACAGGGUUUACAGGCGUAUCAAAAGCUCCUUGACAAUUUGAGCAAAUCUCUAUGAGUGUUUUUUUUUCAAUAUUUGUUGGGUUUUUUAAAUUUAUUUUGCUUGAUUUCUGUAAUUUAAAAUGGAUACUUUCUAUGUUUUACAGUGAGCAACCAGUUGUAGGUUUCAAUCAAGUGGCAAAUCAUGCUCAUCAGUUUAAGGGGAGUAGUUCUAGGUGAUGCAAUUGUACAAAAUGGGGCAACAAGCAUGGUUGGGCAGUGCGUCAUUCAGCUUGCACGAAUUCAUGGUGUCCAUAGCAUUAACAUCAUUAGAGACAGGUGCGAGUCACAAAAUCAAAUCUGAGCUGUAACGAUGAAGGUUAUCAAAUUGUUAAACAAUAUGAGCUUUUACUUUGGUUUGAAUUUCACUAGGUAUUCCAUUAAUGGGGCUUUUCCAGUGUCUUACUCAUACGUCUACUUCAUUUCUUAUAUUUGUUUGUUUAUUAUAAAAAUCUGAAAUUUAUAAGGAACUUGCCUGAACCAGCAUUGGGUUUUAGUUGCGUUGGUGGCAAUGCUGCUUCUUUGGUGCUCAAAUUUUUAAGGUAGCGACAUUCAAGUUGUCAUUUUUUAACUUGCUUUGCUUUGUCAAGUUGUCAAGUUGACAUUCAAGUUGUCAUUUUUUAAUGCGAGAAAAUGUGUGUUAUUGCGUUUAUAAUAUUGGGAUUCUGAAAGGGAAUAUUGGAAAAUAAAAUAAAAAGCAAAAUUACGUUAUCAUAUUUAAGCAUAAAUAAACAUGUAAAAAAAAUCGUUCAUAUAGUCUAUCUUGAUUGGAGAAAGUUUUGGGAAAAUAAGAUUAUUUUAAAUAAACUUGAACAUAAAAUUCCAUAUUUGUUUUUCCAUUGGUGUAUACUUUUGGAUGGAUAUCAUUUGAUGGAUAUUAGUAAAUUCAUAAUUUGCUUUGAAUUUGUGUUACCUAAAUUAAGGUUAGGUUCUCAAGAUGACUAAAUUUACUGAUAUUACCAAUGUUGUAUUCUGUCUUACAGAUGCAUACCCUUUUGAACCACCCAGGAUGAAAUUCCUGACUAAAGUUUUGUAAGGCAUAUUUGAUUACCUUUCCAUUUGUUGUUCAUUCCACAUUGUAUCUCAUAUAAGAGGCAUACUUCUGCCUAUCAUCUUGGGUAAAGUGCUAAGAAGAGUACAACUGCGUAAAUGGAGGCAUAUGUCAGAAGUAAGGUCUUAUUGAAUAGUACUCCAGUUAUAAUCUGGGGCUGGUUUACAAAAAGUCAAUGUUCAGAUUUUAAUUUCUUAUUGGUUAUAGCUGUAUCUGUGUAAGUUGUGCUGGAUCUGCUGCUUAAUUUUACGAGAGAAAAUCACAUUGGGAAAAAAUUGGUUCAAAUUAGGUCUUCCAGGUUCAUUUUUCAACAGGAAUAAGUUCAUAGAACUUCAUACAUAGGCAGGGAGCUCUGCAGUCUCAUUUAAGAAACGGCUUUGUGGGUGUUUUUGCAUCUGUAUGCAUAAUUUUGUUUUUAAUUGAGAGACUUAACCCUUUCCUAUUAUCAGCUGGCUUAUUUAUAACUAUGUAGUUUCUGCUUUUGUAUUUUCUCUAGGAAGCUUCACUAUUUUCAUAAGCAUUGCAGAAUCCUUAAGCAGCUUUUAGCCUCUCUGUAUGAUUGUACCUGUGUUUUUUCUUUUUUCGUCAAUGAGACUUCAUAUUAGGUUCAAAUCAAAUGUAUCUUGCUAUAUGGUGUCUUCUUUCUGAUUGUGACAAUCUAAACCAACAGUAUAGUAUGAGCUUGAAUAGCUACAAUUUAUUUUUUUGUAAAAGAAAUUGGUUCAUAGAAGUUCACUUGACUAAAGUUUUCGCUCUGGCGGUCUAAGUUCUGUUGGUGAUCCUCUUCGCUCUUAAUACCACAUACCUUCUUCCAAUACCGACGGUUGUUCUUUGGCGGUUGGUAUGUCCACCUGUUCUUUGGUGGUUGGUUGUUCUUUAAUAGUUCAUCAAUGUCGAACUCUUUUUUGUUUUCAGUAGUUAGUUGUUGAUUAGUAUAAGACUACUCUUUUUAGUUGUUGUUUUCAGCUGUUCUUUGGUGGUUGGUAUGUCCACCUUUUCAUUGGUGAUUAGUUGUCUAAUGGGAGUUCUGUUGGUUCCUUGAAAUGUGCAUUUUCUCACUAAGCUCUUCAAAUGCUGCCACCAAAUUUACAAGCCUUGCAACAAAAUCCACUAAAAGAGAAGCAAAAGUUGCUGAAUUGAAAGACGUGAAGGCCAUUGAGUCCUGCUAGCCAUCAGUAGAAAACAUACCUUGCAUUGAAGCUCCAGCACCAAUCAUAGAAAUUCUUGAACCUGUCAUAUCAAUAGAUGAAUGCAUAUGUUCAGGAUCCAUGCUAAGUACACUAAGGGAGUUUCUCACAAGCUGACUGCCUCCACAAUCUUUCAUUUUGGCAACAUGCUCCGGAUCAUCAAAUUCCUUGGGUCUUUUUUCUUCUUCCCAUCUCUCAAAAUUUACAGGAGAUAAGACUUUUCAUCUAUCCUAAUCUGUAGUUGUUUUUCUGUUGCAUAAAAUUUCUAGGUUUUGUGUAAUUGCUGAUUAAAUUUUGUUUUUUUACCAAAGCAAAAAAGUGGAAACCGGGUGUUGGAUUUAGUGUCAGAAACCUCCUAAAGGUGAGGUCUUUAGCUGGUUUUUUGGAUAAUUAAUACUUAAUAUUGUUGCUUUUGGAUAAUUAAUGCUUAAUUACAACUUUUAAAAUUCUUGGUUUUGUGUGUUUGAGCAGAAAAGUUGUUUUUCUUUGAUUUUUUUAGAAAAUUUCCAAAUCAAUUUUGUAGGAUUUAGUAUAUUACCAGCCUUAUAUGCUAAAUAUAGGUUGAUACAAGAAUUAGAAUCUCAGUAAUUAAGUCUGAUAUGCAACGUCUCUUAUGCAAUACCUUCUUAUUAUGAUAUUAUGAGAUUAUCAAUAAAUAGGUACGAUUAAGCUUUUGGCAUAUGUGGAUUCUUUAUAUAAAAGUUAAACCCUGUAUAAGGUAGUUUUCUAUUUAGAAUGUUUUCAUUUGGCUUGAUUAUUGCAGGUACAUAGGAUUUGAUGAAUAUAAAGGAAUUGAAGUGGCUUGGAAACAAACUAUUUUAUAUGUUUAGUUACUUUGGUAUUAAGUUUUGAUUAUUAAUCAUGUAAGCACAUGAAUAAAUUGUGUUACGGAGUAUGAUUUAGAUUUUUUUAAAUAGGGACGAUUAAUUUUUCUUUAGUUGAAUUUUGCGAACA